This 429-nucleotide ribosomal RNA is filed under the name bacterium. RNAcentral's name for it is "partial 16S ribosomal RNA". It matches the Rfam family "Bacterial small subunit ribosomal RNA", at positions 355 to 776 of the family's 1533-position model. The record is from RNAcentral.
UAGGGAAUCUUCGGCAAUGGGGGCAACCCUGACCGAGCAACGCCGCGUGAGUGAAGAAGGUUUUCGGAUCGUAAAGCUCUGUUGUAAGAGAAGAACGUGUGUGAGAGUGGAAAGUUCACACAGUGACGGUAACUUACCAGAAAGGGACGGCUAACUACGUGCCAGCAGCCGCGGUAAUACGUAGGUCCCGAGCGUUGUCCGGAUUUAUUGGGCGUAAAGCGAGCGCAGGCGGUUUAAUAAGUCUGAAGUUAAAGGCAGUGGCUUAACCAUUAUUCACUUUGGGAACUGUUAAACUGGGGUGCAGAAGGAGAGAGUGGAAUUCCAUGUGUAGCGGUGAAAUGCGUAGAUAUAUGGAGGAACACCGGUGGCGGAAGCGGCUCUCUGGUCUGUAACUGACGCUGAGGCUCGAAAGCGUGGGGAGCAAACAGG